RNAcentral lists this ribosomal RNA (1398 nucleotides) under uncultured bacterium. RNAcentral describes it as "16S ribosomal RNA". It matches the Rfam family "Bacterial small subunit ribosomal RNA". The record is from RNAcentral.
UUCGCCCUUAGAGUUUGAUCCUGGCUCAGGAUGAACGCUGGCGGCGUGCUUAACACAUGCAAGUCGAACGAAGCACUUUAUUUGAUUUCCUUCGGGACUGAUUAUUUUGUGACUGAGUGGCGGACGGGUGAGUAACGCGUGAGUAACCUGCCCUAGAGUGGGGGACAACAGUUGGAAACGACUGCUAAUACCGCAUAAGCCCACGGUGCCGCAUGACACUGAGGGAAAAGGAUUUAUUCGCUUUAGGAUGGACUCGCGUCCAAUUAGCUAGUUGGUGAGGUAACGGCCCACCAAGGCGACGAUUGGUAGCCGGACUGAGAGGUUGAACGGCCACAUUGGGACUGAGACACGGCCCAGACUCCUACGGGAGGCAGCAGUGGGGGAUAUUGCACAAUGGGGGAAACCCUGAUGCAGCGACGCCGCGUGGAGGAAGAAGGUUUUCGGAUUGUAAACUCCUGUCGUUAGGGACGAUAAUGACGGUACCUAACAAGAAAGCACCGGCUAACUACGUGCCAGCAGCCGCGGUAAAACGUAGGGUGCAAGCGUUGUCCGGAAUUACUGGGUGUAAAGGGAGCGCAGGCGGGAAGACAAGUUGGAAGUGAAAACCAUGGGCUCAACCCAUGAAUUGCUUUCAAAACUGUUUUUCUUGAGUAGUGCAGAGGUAGAUGGAAUUCCCGGUGUAGCGGUGGAAUGCGUAGAUAUCGGGAGAAACACCAGUGGCGAAGGCGGUCUACUGGGCACCAACUGACGCUGAGGCUCGAAAGCAUGGGUAGCCCCCAUAAGGAGAUACCCUGGUAUUCCAUGCCGUAAACGAGAAUUAGUUGGUGUAGGGGGAUUGACCCCCUACAGUGCCGCAGUUCACACAAUAAGUAAUCCACUUGGGGAGUAAGGCCGCAAGGUUGAAACUCAAAGGAAUUGACGGGGGCCCGCACAAGCAGUGGAGUAUGUGGUUUAAUUCGAAGCAACGCGAAGAACCUUACCAGGUCUUGACAUCCGAUGCAUAGCACAGAGAUGUGUGAAAUCAUUCGGGACAUCGAGACAGGUGGUGCAUGGUUGUCGUCAGCUCGUGUCGUGAGAUGUUGGGUUAAGUCCCGCAACGAGCGCAACCCUUAUUGCCAGUUACUACGUUAAGAGGACUCUGGCGAGACUGCCGUUGACAAAACGGAGGAAGGUGGGGAUGACGUCAGAUCAUCAUGCCCCUUAUGACCAGGGCUACACACGUGCUACAAUGGCGUAAACAAAGGGAAGCAGAGCCGCGAGGCCGAGCAAAUCUCAAAAAUAACGUCUCAGUUCAGAUUGCAGGCUGCAGCUCGCCUGCAUGAAGUCGGAAUUGUUAGUAAUCGCGGAUCAGCAUGCCGCGGUGAAUACGUUCCCGGGCCUUGCACUCACCGCCCGUCA